AACGACUCUCGGCAACGGAUAUCUCGGCUCUCGCAUCGAUGAAGAACGUAGCGAAAUGCGAUACUUGGUGUGAAUUGCAGAAUCCCGUGAACCAUCGAGUCUUUGAACGCAAGUUGCGCCCAAAGCCAUUAGGCUGAGGGCACGUCUGCCUGGGCGUCACGC
Molecule: ribosomal RNA, 162 nt
Filed under: Hyptis nudicaulis
Lineage: Eukaryota; Viridiplantae; Streptophyta; Magnoliopsida; Lamiales; Lamiaceae
Also listed under: 1 other name
Description: 5.8S ribosomal RNA
Rfam family: 5.8S ribosomal RNA
About the family: 5.8S ribosomal RNA (5.8S rRNA) is a component of the large subunit of the eukaryotic ribosome.
Source: RNAcentral